AUUGAACGCUGGCGGCAGGCCUAACACAUGCAAGUCGAGCGAGCGGCGGACGGGUGAGUAAUGUAUGGGGACUGCCCGAUAGAGGGGGAUAACUACUGGAAACGGUGGCUAAUACCGCAUACUACAGGAUAACCCAUAUAGGAUUCGCUAGUAGGUGGGGUAAAGGCUCAACUAGGCGACGAUCUCUAGCUGGUCUGAGAGGAUGAGCAGCCACACGGGGACUGGGACACGGCCCAGAAUCCUACGGAUGCAGCAGUGGGGAAUAUUGCACAAUGGGCGCAAGCCUGAUGCAGCCAUGCCGCGUGUAGGAAGAAGGCAUUAGGGUUGUAAAGUACUUUCAGCGGGGAGGCGUUACCCGCAGAAGAAGCACCGGCUAACUCCGUGCCAGCAGCCGCGGUAAUUC
This 403-nucleotide ribosomal RNA is filed under the name uncultured bacterium. RNAcentral describes it as "partial 16S ribosomal RNA". It matches the Rfam family "Bacterial small subunit ribosomal RNA", at positions 30 to 526 of the family's 1533-position model. The record is from RNAcentral.